UAACAGGUGUUCAAAGAGUGAAUUCUGGAUGUCAUUAUUCAAUGAUUACUGCAUCUAAAGUUUUCAAAAACAAACUACGACAUCCUAUAAUCUAUGUAGUGGGGGGGAGUUUGGCUGUGUGUGUGUGUGUGUGUGUGUAUACGUGUGCAUUCUCUAAAAACAGAGUCUCUUUUGGUUAA
This 179-nucleotide small RNA is filed under the name Marmota monax (woodchuck). The record is from RNAcentral. Lineage: Eukaryota; Metazoa; Chordata; Mammalia; Rodentia; Sciuridae.